RNAcentral lists this ribosomal RNA (858 nucleotides) under uncultured Actinomycetes bacterium. RNAcentral's name for it is "bacterial SSU rRNA". It matches the Rfam family "Bacterial small subunit ribosomal RNA", at positions 29 to 896 of the family's 1533-position model. The record is from RNAcentral. Lineage: Bacteria; Bacillati; Actinomycetota; Actinomycetes.
ACGAAACGCUGGCGGCGUGCUUAACACAUGCAAGUCGAACGGAAAGGCCUGCAGCUUGCUGCGGGUACUCGAGUGGCGAACGGGUGAGUAACACGUGGGUGAUCUGCCUUGCACUUCGGGAUAAGCUUGGGAAACUGGGUCUAAUACCGGAUAGGACAGCUGUUUAGUGUCAGUUGUGGAAAGUUUUUUCGGUGCAAGAUGAGCUCGCGGCCUAUCAGCUUGUUGGUGGGGUAAUGGCCUACCAAGGCGUCGACGGGUAGCCGGCCUGAGAGGGUGUACGGCCACAUUGGGACUGAGAUACGGCCCAGACUCCUACGGGAGGCAGCAGUGGGGAAUAUUGCACAAUGGGCGGAAGCCUGAUGCAGCGACGCCGCGUGGGGGAUGAAGGCCUUCGGGUUGUAAACUCCUUUCGACAGGGACGAAGCGUAAGUGACGGUACCUGUAUAAGAAGCACCGGCUAACUACGUGCCAGCAGCCGCGGUAAUACGUAGGGUGCGAGCGUUGUCCGGAAUUACUGGGCGUAAAGAGCUCGUAGGUGGUUUGUCGCGUCGUCUGUGAAAUUCCGGGGCUUAACUCCGGGCGUGCAGGCGAUACGGGCUGACUUGAGUGCUGUAGGGGAGACUGGAAUUCCUGGUGUAGCGGUGAAAUGCGCAGAUAUCAGGAGGAACACCGAUGGCGAAGGCAGGUCUCUGGGCAGUAACUGACGCUGAGGAGCGAAAGCAUGGGUAGCGAACAGGAUUAGAUACCCUGGUAGUCCAUGCCGUAAACGGUGGGCGCUAGGUGUAGGGGGCUUCCACGUCUUCUGUGCCGUAGCUAACGCAUUAAGCGCCCCGCCUGGGGAGUACGGCCGCAAGGCUA